This 109-nucleotide ribosomal RNA is filed under the name Acanthosepion pharaonis. The record is from RNAcentral. Lineage: Eukaryota; Metazoa; Mollusca; Cephalopoda; Sepiida; Sepiidae.
AGCCACAUCAGACUGAAAUACCAGUUCUUGUAUAAUCACUGAAGUUAAGCAACAUUAAGCCUAGUCAGUAACUAGAUGGGUGAUCACUUGGGAAUAUCAGGUGCUGUAA